Molecule: ribosomal RNA, 275 nt
Filed under: uncultured Actinomycetes bacterium
Lineage: Bacteria; Bacillati; Actinomycetota; Actinomycetes
Description: uncultured actinobacterium partial 16S ribosomal RNA
Rfam family: Bacterial small subunit ribosomal RNA
Source: RNAcentral
GCUGCCUAUCAGCUUGUUGGUGAGGUAAUGGCUCACCAAGGCGACGACGGGUAGCCGGCCUGAGAGGGCGACCGGCCACACUGGGACUGAGACACGGCCCAGACUCCUACGGGAGGCAGCAGUGGGGAAUAUUGGGCAAUGGAGGAAACUCUGNACCCAGNGUCGCCGCGUGAGGGAUGAAGGCCUUCGGGCUUGUAAACCUCUUUCAGCAGGGAAGAAGCGAAAGUGACGGGACCUGCAGAAGAAGCACCUGCUAACUCUGUGCCAGCAGCUGC